CGGGUACGUACUGGUAUUGUUGGUUUCUCCCUUCUGACGAACCAUGAUGUCAUUUAUUUGGUGUUGUGGGGAAUCAGGACUGUUACUUUGAAAAAAUUAGAGUGUUUAAAGCAGGCUCACGCUUGAAUACAUUAGCAUGGAAUAAUGAAAUAGGACGUUCGAUCCUAUUUUGUUGGUUUCUAGGAUUGACGUAAUGAUUAAUAGGGAUAGUUGGGGGCAUUAGUAUUCAAUUGUCAGAGGUGAAAUUCUUGGAUUUAUUGAAGACUAACUACUGCGAAAGCAUUUGCCAAGGAUGUUUUCAUUAAUCAAGAACGAAAGUUAGGGGAUCGAAGACGAUCAGAUACCGUCGUAGUCUUAACCAUAAACUAUGCCGACUAGGGAUCGGAUGAUGUUAAUUUUUUAAUGACUCAUUCGGCGCCUUACG
This 424-nucleotide ribosomal RNA is filed under the name uncultured Glomeromycotina. RNAcentral's name for it is "SSU rRNA". It matches the Rfam family "Eukaryotic small subunit ribosomal RNA", at positions 670 to 1092 of the family's 1831-position model. Lineage: Eukaryota; Fungi; Glomeromycota. The record is from RNAcentral.